AAACUCUUUAAUCCAUUCCAAAUUCCCUUACUAAAUACAGCAAUUCUUUUAACUUCAGGAGUAACUGUUACAUGAGCACAUCAUAGCUUAAUAGAAGGAAAUCAUUCACAAGCUACACAAGGAUUAUUUUUUACAGUACUAUUAGGUAUUUAUUUUACUAUUUUACAAGCAUAUGAAUAUAUUGAAGCCCCUUUUAUAAUUGCAGACUCAGUUUAUGGUUCUACUUUUUUUAUGGCAACAGGCUUUCAUGGAAUUCAUGUAUUAAUUGGAACUACCUUUUUAUUAGUAUGUUUAAUUCGACAUUUAAAUAAUCACUUUUCAAAAAUUCAUCAUUUUGGAUUUGAAGCUG
Molecule: long non-coding RNA, 349 nt
Organism: Rhagoletis pomonella (apple maggot)
Lineage: Eukaryota; Metazoa; Arthropoda; Insecta; Diptera; Tephritidae
Exons: 2
Source: RefSeq, a predicted model, not a curated record